UUGAUCUCAAAAGGAUGAUAUAGAUUAAAUGAAUGGAGAAUGAUUGAUUGAUAAAUAGGGUAGAUUUAUAAAUAAGGUAGCUCGCGAAGAAACCGGGUUCUUCUGCCUACGUACCCUUAUAGUGCAAUAAGGAAGCCAGGGCUUUCGUAGUUCAGCCCACUAGGGCUGAAAGCCAGAAUGAUUGAUGGAUAAGUGGAUGAG
RNAcentral lists this long non-coding RNA (201 nucleotides) under Lathyrus oleraceus (garden pea). RNAcentral describes it as "Pisum sativum (pea) long non-coding RNA (PSAT_LNC004554)". The record is from RNAcentral. Lineage: Eukaryota; Viridiplantae; Streptophyta; Magnoliopsida; Fabales; Fabaceae.